UGUAGCUCAAUUGGUAGAGUGCUUGCCUACUAAGCAUGACAUCCUGGGUUCAAUUCCCAGCA
RNAcentral lists this transfer RNA (62 nucleotides) under Neotoma lepida (desert woodrat). It matches the Rfam family "tRNA", at positions 6 to 65 of the family's 71-position model. Rfam says of the family: Transfer RNA (tRNA) molecules are approximately 80 nucleotides in length. Their secondary structure includes four short double-helical elements and three loops (D, anti-codon, and T loops). The record is from Rfam by way of RNAcentral. Lineage: Eukaryota; Metazoa; Chordata; Mammalia; Rodentia; Cricetidae.